RNAcentral lists this signal recognition particle RNA (299 nucleotides) under Microcebus murinus (gray mouse lemur). RNAcentral describes it as "Metazoan signal recognition particle RNA (ENSMICG00000030790.2)". It matches the Rfam family "Metazoan signal recognition particle RNA". From Rfam's summary of the family: The signal recognition particle (SRP) is a universally conserved ribonucleoprotein. Lineage: Eukaryota; Metazoa; Chordata; Mammalia; Primates; Cheirogaleidae. The record is from RNAcentral.
GCCAGCUCAGUGGCACACACCUGUAGUCCUGGCUACCAGGAAGGCUAAAGCAGGAGGAUCGCUUGAGUCCAGGAGUUCUGGGCUGUGGUGUGCUAUGCCAAUAGGGUGUCUCCACACUAAGUUCAGCAUCAAGAUGAUGACCUCUUGGUAGAAGGGGACUACCAGGUUGCCUAAGGAGGGGUGAACCAGCUCAGGUCAAAACCAGAGCAGGUCAAAACUCCCAGGCUGAUCAGUAGUGGGAUGGCACCAUGAAAAGCCACUGCAGUCCAGCCUGGGCAACACAGCAAGACCCUGUCUCU